CCUACGGGGGGCUGCAGUGGGGAAUAUUGGACAAUGGGGACAACCCUGAUCCAGCCAUGCCGCGUGUGUGAAGAAGGCCCUCGGGUUGUAAAGCACUUUCAGUGAGGAAGAACGCCUGGUGGUUAAUACCCAUCAGGAAAGACAUCACUCACAGAAGAAGCACCGGCUAACUCCGUGCCAGCAGCCGCGGUAAUACGGAGGGUGCGAGCGUUAAUCGGAAUUACUGGGCGUAAAGCGCGCGUAGGUGGCUUGAUAAGCCGGUUGUGAAAGCCCCGGGCUCAACCUGGGAACGGCAUCCGGAACUGUCAAGCUAGAGUGCAGGAGAGGAAGGUAGAAUUCCCGGUGUAGCGGUGAAAUGCGUAGAGAUCGGGAGGAAUACCAGUGGCGAAGGCGGCCUUCUGGACUGACACUGACACUGAGGUGCAAAAGCGUGGGUAGCAAACAGGAUUAGAUACCCUAGUAGUC
This 465-nucleotide ribosomal RNA is filed under the name Vreelandella stevensii. RNAcentral's name for it is "partial 16S ribosomal RNA". It matches the Rfam family "Bacterial small subunit ribosomal RNA", at positions 338 to 795 of the family's 1533-position model. Lineage: Bacteria; Pseudomonadati; Pseudomonadota; Gammaproteobacteria; Oceanospirillales; Halomonadaceae. The record is from RNAcentral.